AUUGAACGCUGGCGGCAUGCCUUACACAUGCAAGUCGAACGGCAGCACGGGAGCUUGCUCCUGGUGGCGAGUGGCGGACGGGUGAGUAAUGUCUGGGAAACUGCCCGAUGGAGGGGGAUAACUACUGGAAACGGUAGCUAAUACCGCAUAACGUCUUCGGACCAAAGUGGGGGACCUUCGGGCCUCACACCAUCGGAUGUGCCCAGAUGGGAUUAGCUAGUAGGUGGGGUAAUGGCUCACCUAGGCGACGAUCCCUAGCUGGUCUGAGAGGAUGAGCAGCCACACUGGAACUGAGACACGGUCCAGACUCCUACGGGAGGCAGCAGUGGGGAAUAUUGCACAAGGGGCGCAAGCCUGAUGCAGCCAUGCCGCGUGUAUGAAGAAGGCCUUCGGGUUGUAAAGUACUUUCAGCGGGGAGGAAGGCGGUGAAGUUAAUAACUUCACCGAUUGACGUUACCCGCAGAAGAAGCACCGGCUAACUCCGUGCCAGCCGCCGCCGUAA
This 502-nucleotide ribosomal RNA is filed under the name uncultured bacterium. RNAcentral's name for it is "partial 16S ribosomal RNA". It matches the Rfam family "Bacterial small subunit ribosomal RNA", at positions 30 to 523 of the family's 1533-position model. The record is from RNAcentral.